RNAcentral lists this ribosomal RNA (254 nucleotides) under uncultured bacterium. RNAcentral describes it as "partial 16S ribosomal RNA". It matches the Rfam family "Bacterial small subunit ribosomal RNA", at positions 524 to 776 of the family's 1533-position model. The record is from RNAcentral.
UACGUAGGGGGCUAGCGUUGUCCGGAAUUAUUGGGCGUAAAGAGCUCGUAGGCGGUGUGUCACGUCGGCCGUGAAAACCUGCAGCUUAACUGUGGGCGUGCGGUCGAUACGGGCAUCACUGGAGUUCGGCAGGGGAGACUGGAAUUCCUGGUGUAGCGGUGAAAUGCGCAGAUAUCAGGAGGAACACCGGUGGCGAAGGCGGGUCUCUGGGCCGAUACUGACGCUGAGGAGCGAAAGCGUGGGGAGCAAACAGG